RNAcentral lists this ribosomal RNA (446 nucleotides) under uncultured bacterium. Its description in RNAcentral is "bacterial SSU rRNA". It matches the Rfam family "Bacterial small subunit ribosomal RNA", at positions 331 to 793 of the family's 1533-position model. The record is from RNAcentral.
CCAGACUCCUACGGGAGGCAGCAGUGGGGAAUAUUGCACAAUGGGGGAAACCCUGAUGCAGCGACGCCGCGUGAGUGGAGAAGUAUUUCGGUAUGUAAAGCUCUAUCAGCAGGGAAGAAAAAAGACGGUACCUGACUAAGAAGCCCCGGCUAACUACGUGCCAGCAGCCGCGGUAAUACGUAGGGGGCAAGCGUUAUCCGGAUUUACUGGGUGUAAAGGGAGCGUAGACGGCGCAGCAAGUCUGAAGUGAAAGGCAGGGGCUUAACCCCUGAACUGCUUUGGAAACUGCCAUGCUAGAGUGCUGGAGAGGUAAGUGGAAUUCCUAGUGUAGCGGUGAAAUGCGUAGAUAUUAGGAGGAACACCAGUGGCGAAGGCGGCCUGCUGGGCUUUAACUGACUCUGAGGCUCGAAAGCGUGGGGAGCAAACAGGAUUAGAUACCCCAGUAU